This 465-nucleotide ribosomal RNA is filed under the name Vreelandella stevensii. RNAcentral's name for it is "partial 16S ribosomal RNA". It matches the Rfam family "Bacterial small subunit ribosomal RNA", at positions 338 to 795 of the family's 1533-position model. Lineage: Bacteria; Pseudomonadati; Pseudomonadota; Gammaproteobacteria; Oceanospirillales; Halomonadaceae. The record is from RNAcentral.
CCUACGGGAGGCUGCAGUGGGGAAUAUUGGACAAUGGGCGAAAGCCUGAUCCAGCCAUGCCGCGUGUGUGAAGAAGGCCUUCGGGUUGUAAAGCACUUUCAGUGGGGAAGAAAGCCUUGGGGCUAAUACCCUCGAGGAAGGACAUCACCCACAGAAGAAGCACCGGCUAACUCCGUGCCAGCAGCCGCGGUAAUACGGAGGGUGCGAGCGUUAAUCGGAAUUACUGGGCGUAAAGCGCGCGUAGGCGGUCUGAUAAGCCGGUUGUGAAAGCCCCGGGCUCAACCUGGGAACGGCAUCCGGAACUGUCAGGCUAGAGUGCAGGAGAGGAAGGUAGAAUUCCCGGUGUAGCGGUGAAAUGCGUAGAGAUCGGGAGGAAUACCAGUGGCGAAGGCGGCCUUCUGGACUGACACUGACGCUGAGGUGCGAAAGCGUGGGUAGCAAACAGGAUUAGAUACACUGGUAGUC